RNAcentral lists this long non-coding RNA (1040 nucleotides) under Eucalyptus grandis. Its description in RNAcentral is "long non-coding RNA (EGRA_LNC003659)". Lineage: Eukaryota; Viridiplantae; Streptophyta; Magnoliopsida; Myrtales; Myrtaceae. The record is from RNAcentral.
UUCGUUCUUCCGCCAGGACCAGGAGAAGGUGCUCGGCCGCUGUUCGACCCGUCACUACUCUGAGAACUCGAUGUUGGAAGGUACUUCCUCUUGAGCUUUUUCAACCUCCCAUCUGCCUUGUUUCUUCCAUCAGCGGAUGGUGUCUGCCUACUGUCCGACAGUUGGCGGCUCUGAGAAGCUAAAGUCAAUGGUGGACUGCCAUCCCUAUUGACUGGUUUGCCAUCUCUGGCAUUCUGUGAAGAUUUCUCUUCGAUAGGCAAUCCUGUAAGUUAGCACCAGCUAUUCAGGACCCUUCACUAAAUGGUGAUCUGAAUGAAAUCUUGUACUGAUUUGGCAAGCUUUAGGAUGAACAAAACAAAGGCUUAAGAGGAGGAAAUGAAGUAGAUCUUUUGAUCAAAUUAAUUUACUUGUAAUUAGCAGUUUAAAUGCAUCAAAAUUACAAAAUCAUACAUAUAGGGUUCUGACAACAUAGGACCUAAACCACACAAUCACUGGACUUUCUUGAUCAGACAGGCAAAUUUCGCCGCAAUGACUAGAACUUAGGCAAUACUGAUGUCAAUUAAGCUGGCCAAUGAUAUUAAUUACCAAUUAGGCUACAUUCUUAGCUAUAACUAAUCAAGUACAUAUGUUUACAUGAACUAAAAAAGCAUGUUUUCCUUCUCAUACGAUGCAGACAUAAAAUGUGCAAGCCUUGAAGAAGAUUUUCACCAGAAAAACGAGCAACAUCAAUGAUCAGGUGAGAUAGAACCAGCAGUAGCUCCUCUCUAUUGAAAAUCAGAUGCAAGGGGGCCAAAGAAGAUACCUGAAAUUGCUGCUUGGACAACAACGUCAUCUGGCUUUGAAGAAUCAGUGACAUUAAGGUUGCAAUCAGCAUCCCUAUGCUCUACAUGCUCUCCACUUUCAACUUCUGAUUCCAGCAUCGCGACCAGAUAAUCAAAGAUUUCAUCUGACAACAUGGUCAUGCAGCUUGAAUUAUCCGACUGGGAAGAUGGAGAUUGUGGAAUGCCAAGGUCCAGCAAUUCUAAGUAGUCACCAGGAUC